GGGCUGGCUUUAGCCCAGUGGUUCCUUCGAGUCUAGCUUCCCAACUACCCGGGCCAAUUGGUCCAGUGGUUUGAGACCUGCGGGCGCUCUCCAGUCCUUUU
Cavia aperea (Brazilian guinea pig) is the source of this 101-nucleotide unclassified non-coding RNA. Its record names the gene Vault. It matches the Rfam family "Vault RNA". From Rfam's summary of the family: This family of RNAs are found as part of the enigmatic vault ribonucleoprotein complex. The complex consists of a major vault protein (MVP), two minor vault proteins (VPARP and TEP1), and several small untranslated RNA molecules. It has been suggested that the vault complex is involved in drug resistance. The record is from Ensembl. NCBI's taxonomy places the organism in Eukaryota, Metazoa, Chordata, Mammalia, Rodentia, Caviidae.